AUGGCGUGCAGACGGCCUUUUGCUAGAAUCACCUGCGGACUCGAGGCUGUUCACGUCGACCCAAUCAAGCUUCAAGCCCCAAGAGAGACGGAGAUAGAGAGGGCGGUGGCAGGUGGCUUGGAGCGCGGCGGAAACUUCCAUUUCCGCGCACCGGUUAGUGCCGUGUACGUUCAAGAUAUGUGGAACGAUGGCAACUACUCUUUCUGUCCGAUUCUGUCACAUAAAGAAGCCAAGUAACUGCUUGGCUAUAGCAGACAGUGCAGCACAAUUUCAGGAAGAUUAAUUUGGUGCAUAACAGGGAAGAAUUCAUUGAUAUCAUCUUUUCUCAUGCACGGCGCAAACACCUACAGUUGUUUGCACAACAGAAUUUUCAUAAGAAGCUCUCAAGUUAUUCGCAAUUCACGAUUUGAAGGAACGGCGAAAAAAAUCUGCAUCAAGUUCUUCAUACGUCAUUACGACCGCUAAUGUGCUUGCUUUUUUGUACAUUACAUGUCAUAACUAUCCAGAAGAAUUUUUAUUUUGUAUUAUAGAAAAGGUUCUUCUCUCUCAUUAGUAGAGGAACUCCUUCCUGGCCAAUUCAGAGAAGCAUAUUGAUUGUAAUGCGCCGUAUUACUUCUUUUCUUUUGUUUGGCAAAUACUAUCAGAAUGUUCCAUAGCUACACUAUGCUUCUUCAAGCCGCUCAAGGCUAAGUAAAAAAAUUCUAUGGUCUCCUUCUGUUCUUGCAUUUUUGAGUCUGCAUUUUUCAUCUGGGUGUUGGUUUCUUAAGCAGGAGGUCACAAAACUGAAGUGCUAUCUAGGUAUAGAAAAGAGGGCAGCAAAUUCAGUUUCUCAAUCGAGGGGUCUGGCUUCUGUUGAACAUCACGUCCUUGAGUCUAGGAUUUUUAUUUCAGAAAUUAUCUUGUCAUGAUCGGCGAUUUCUUGUUAACAGGAUAAUGCAUCAUGGAUGAUUACUCUUCAGACCAGACCAAGUCACAUCUCCAUUGGACGAGGAAAAGCUAUUAUUGAGCCUUGCUUGGAUUUCUUCAGUCCGAGUACGGUGAGGAGCAUUCCGAGGUAAUCGAAAAGAUACACUGAGCGAAACAGCUGCAGUUUGUGGUCAUUCCAAGGGGGGAAUCUGAACCAGAAGUCAACCAGAAAGCUUCUUCUCAACACUGCCUUGUGGUGGCUGAAUGUAUCGAAUGAGAACUUCCCAUGGUAAUUGCCCAUGCCGCUCUCGCCAAUACCUCCGAACGGUAGUGUAUCAGCCAUAUACUGCAGAUUCGACACAGAUUGGGCCAUUCGAGCAAAAGAAAGAUUAAAGCAAAGGUCAAUGGAUCUUGAAGUUAUUGAACAAUGACGUUACUUGAAUCAUUGCAUCAUUGAAUGUCACGCUUCCCGAUGAUGUUUCCGCUACCAUCCUUUUCCUGAGCGAGCCGUUAUGAGUAAAGACAUAAAGCGCGAGAGGUUUAGGCCUUGAAUUUAUGAAGUUGAUGCUGUCCUCGAUCUUCUUCAACUGUCAAGACAGGCCGGUUGAUUGCAACCUAUUUUAUGAGAAGCAAAGUCGCUACUAACCGAAGAAAUAUCAUUUAGAAGGGCAAUGUCCAAGGACAAAGGACUAUAAUGGAAGUACAUAUCUCAAGGAGAAUAUUUUUACCGUAAUGAUCGGGAGUAAGGGGCCGAAAAUCUCAUCUUGCAUGAGAUCCGAUUCGAGGGGGGGAUCAAGCAAGAUGGUCGGCUCAAUAAACCUGCAUGAAACAAAAGCGAGGGAAGGAUUGACUACAAGAGCACAGAAAACAUUCUUAGGCUCUUUCAAACGAGUCAAUAUGGACGGCAUACAAGCUUUUUUCGUC
Long non-coding RNA from Eucalyptus grandis, 1830 nucleotides. RefSeq lists it as uncharacterized. The record is from RefSeq and is a predicted model, not a curated record. The transcript has 4 exons. NCBI's taxonomy places the organism in Eukaryota, Viridiplantae, Streptophyta, Magnoliopsida, Myrtales, Myrtaceae.